This 202-nucleotide long non-coding RNA is filed under the name Populus trichocarpa (black cottonwood). Its description in RNAcentral is "long non-coding RNA (PTRI_LNC000572)". The record is from RNAcentral. Lineage: Eukaryota; Viridiplantae; Streptophyta; Magnoliopsida; Malpighiales; Salicaceae.
UUGGUUUUGUGAUUAUCUUCAAUUUAUUUUCUAUGUGUUUAUUCUAGUCCCAUGACCCAAGUCACAAGUUUUGCAUGCCUUUUUCAAUAUGAGUUUUUUUCUAAAUUAUUUUGUUUGUGUUUGAUUUUUCAAGAUACUAUUAUAAUUCAUCUAUAAUUUUUAUUUUUUUUACACAAAUGAAAUUUAUUUUUCAAAAUAAAAA